UGGGGAAUAUUGCACAAUGGGCGCAAGCCUGAUGCAGCCAUGCCGCGUGUAUGAAGAAGGCCUUCGGGUUGUAAAGUACUUUCAGAGGGGAGGAAGGCGAUGUGGUUAAUAACCGCGUCGAUUGACGUUACCCGCAGAAGAAGCACCGGCUAACUCCGUGCCAGCAGCCGCGGUAAUACGGAGGGUGCAAGCGUUAAUCGGAAUUACUGGGCGUAAAGCGCACGCAGGCGGUCUGUCAAGUCGGAUGUGAAAUCCCCGGGCUCAACCUGGGAACUGCAUUCGAAACUGGCAGGCUAGAGUCUUGUAGAGGGGGGUAGAAUUCCAGGUGUAGCGGUGAAAUGCGUAGAGAUCUGGAGGAAUACCGGUGGCGAAGGCGGCCCCCUGGACAAAGACUGACGCUCAGGUGCGAAAGCGUGGGGAGCAAACA
RNAcentral lists this ribosomal RNA (427 nucleotides) under uncultured bacterium. RNAcentral's name for it is "partial 16S ribosomal RNA". It matches the Rfam family "Bacterial small subunit ribosomal RNA", at positions 355 to 774 of the family's 1533-position model. The record is from RNAcentral.